GCCCGGAACCGAUUUGAAAUAGCCCGCAGUAAAGAGAGAGAGAGUAACCCAUUUAUAGGUUUAGAGAAAUAGAAAGCACGAGAGAAGGGGAAAGUUCAGGAAAGAGGAGAGAAAGUGCAGCGCCUAUGGAAGAGAGAGAGAAACCCAUUUAGGCACGUCACGUCUUCCUACGAGUGGGAUGGAUUCCAUAGUGAGAGAGACUAAACGCAUCGGUCGAGAAGAGGGAGAAACACAGGAGUAUUAAAGAGGCGUAUUUAGGAGUAUUAAUGGGGCGUGCAGUUAGGACUGUUACAGAGGCGUGCAAUCUCUCAAUAGAGGCGUGCAAUCCCUCAAUUUGGUUAUCUUUCAGCCAUCAUGUAAGCUUCGUUUGGAUAUGAUUGAAAAGGGUGUGGUUUGCAUAAAGUUGCAACCUCAAAGUAUCAAAGGAAGGUGGACCUUCAUACUUGCUCCUGCGAUGUAAUUUUGGUGUCGGAAAUGUUAAAAUGGGCAGGUUGAGGCU
Non-coding RNA from Amborella trichopoda, 499 nucleotides. The record is from RefSeq and is a predicted model, not a curated record. Lineage: Eukaryota; Viridiplantae; Streptophyta; Magnoliopsida; Amborellales; Amborellaceae.